Molecule: ribosomal RNA, 496 nt
Filed under: uncultured bacterium
Lineage: Bacteria
Description: bacterial SSU rRNA
Rfam family: Bacterial small subunit ribosomal RNA
Source: RNAcentral
AGGGUUCGAUUCUGGCUCAGGAUAAACGCUGGCGGCGUGCUUAACACAUGCAAGUCGAAACGAAUAAACCAUCCUCGGAUGGAUAUAGAGUGGCGAACGGGUGAGUAACACGUGACCAACCUACCUUUCACAUUGGGAUAACUCGGAGAAAUCCAAGCUAAUACCAAAUACUCCGUGCAGGUCGCAUGACCUGUGCGGGAAAGCUUUCGCGGUGGAAGAUGGGGUCGCGGCCUAUUAGAUAGUUGGUGGGGUAACGGCUCACCAAGUCAAUGAUAGGUAGCCGGGUUGAGAGACUGAUCGGCCACAUUGGGACUGAGAUACGGCCCAGACUCCUACGGGAGGCAGCAGUGGGGAAUUUUGCGCAAUGGGGGAAACCCUGAACCGCAGCAACGCCGCGUGCGGGAUGAAGGCCUUCGGGUUGUAAACCGCUUUCAGCAGGGAAGAAAUUGACGGUACCUGCAGAAGAAGCUCCGGCUAACUACGUGCCAGCCGCCGC